CGGGGUGUAGCGCAGCCAGGUAGCGCAACUGGUUUGGGACCAGUGGGUCGAAGGUUCGAAUCCUUUCACCCCGACCA
This 77-nucleotide transfer RNA is filed under the name Rubrivivax sp. RNAcentral describes it as "tRNA-Pro". It matches the Rfam family "tRNA". From Rfam's summary of the family: Transfer RNA (tRNA) molecules are approximately 80 nucleotides in length. Their secondary structure includes four short double-helical elements and three loops (D, anti-codon, and T loops). The record is from RNAcentral. Lineage: Bacteria; Pseudomonadati; Pseudomonadota; Betaproteobacteria; Burkholderiales; Sphaerotilaceae.